CGGGGCGUGGCUCAGCUUGGCUAGAGCGCUUCGUUCGGGACGAAGAGGUCGGUGGUUCAAAUCCACUCGCCCCGACCA
RNAcentral lists this transfer RNA (78 nucleotides) under Candidatus Omnitrophota bacterium. Its description in RNAcentral is "Candidatus Omnitrophica bacterium tRNA-Pro". It matches the Rfam family "tRNA". Rfam says of the family: Transfer RNA (tRNA) molecules are approximately 80 nucleotides in length. Their secondary structure includes four short double-helical elements and three loops (D, anti-codon, and T loops). Further hydrogen bonds mediate the characteristic L-shaped molecular structure. tRNAs have two regions of fundamental functional importance: the anti-codon, which is responsible for specific mRNA codon recognition, and the 3' end, to which the tRNAs corresponding amino acid is attached (by aminoacyl-tRNA synthetases). tRNAs cope with the degeneracy of the genetic code in two manners: having more than one tRNA (with a specific anti-codon) for a particular amino acid; and 'wobble' base-pairing, i.e. permitting non-standard base-pairing at the 3rd anti-codon position. The record is from RNAcentral. Lineage: Bacteria; Pseudomonadati; Candidatus Omnitrophota.